This 252-nucleotide ribosomal RNA is filed under the name uncultured bacterium. RNAcentral's name for it is "partial 16S ribosomal RNA". It matches the Rfam family "Bacterial small subunit ribosomal RNA", at positions 524 to 776 of the family's 1533-position model. The record is from RNAcentral.
UACGUAGGGGGCAAGCGUUAUCCGGAUUCACUGGGUGUAAAGGGAGCGUAGACGGCCAUGCAAGCCUGGAGUGAAAGCCCGGGGCCAACCCCGGGACUGCUCUGGGAACUGUGCGGCUGGAGUGCGGGAGGGGCAGGCGGAAUUCCUGGUGUAGCGGUGAAAUGCGUAGAUAUCAGGAGGAACACCGGCGGCGAAGGCGGCCUGCUGGACCGCGACUGACGUUGAGGCUCGAAAGCGUGGGGAGCAAACAGG